UCCCUCCGAAGUUUCCCUCAGGA
This 23-nucleotide small nuclear RNA is filed under the name Arabidopsis thaliana (thale cress). RNAcentral's name for it is "snRNA_14576". Lineage: Eukaryota; Viridiplantae; Streptophyta; Magnoliopsida; Brassicales; Brassicaceae. The record is from RNAcentral.